RNAcentral lists this ribosomal RNA (682 nucleotides) under uncultured organism. RNAcentral describes it as "SSU rRNA". It matches the Rfam family "Eukaryotic small subunit ribosomal RNA", at positions 384 to 1082 of the family's 1831-position model. The record is from RNAcentral.
CGGAGAGGGCGCAUGAGAAACGCCUACCACAUCCAAGGAAGGCAGCAGGCGCGCAAAUUACCCAAUCCCGACACGGGGAGGUAGUGACAAUAUGUAACAAUAUACGGCUUUAUUGUCGUAUAAUUGGAAUGAGUACAAUUUAAAUCCCUUAACGAGGAACAAUUGGAGGGCAAGUCUGGUGCCAGCAGCCGCGGUAAUUCCAGCUCCAAUAGCGUAUAUUAAAGUUGUUGCAGUUAAAAAGCUCGUAGUUGGACCUUGGGCCUGGACAGGCGGUCCGCCUCACGGCGUGUACUGUCUUGCUGGGCCUUUCCUCUUGGUGAUCUGUGGUUUCGGCCGCAGGGAACCAGGACCUUUACUUUGAAAAAAUUAGAGUGUUCAAAGCAGGCUUUACGCCAGAAUAUAUUAGCAUGGAAUAAUAAAAUAGGACGUGCGGUUCUAUUUUGUUGGUUUUUGGGAUCGCCGUAAUGAUUAAUAGGGACAGUCGGGGGCAUUAGUACUCACAUGCUAGAGGUGAAAUUCUUGGAUUUUGUGAAGACUAACUUCUGCGAAAGCAUUUGCCAAGGAUGUUUUCAUUAAUCAAGAACGAAGGUUAGGGUAUCGAAAACGAUUAUAUACCGUUGUAGUCUUAUCAGUAAACUAUGCCGACUAGGGAUCGGUCGAUGUUAUUUUCUUGACUCGAUCG